AUCUAUACUGUGAAACUGCGAAUGGCUCAUUAAAUCAGUUAUCGUUUAUUUGAUAGUACCUUACUACAUGGAUAACCGUGGUAAUUCUAGAGCUAAUACAUGCUAAAAACCCCGACUUCGGAAGGGGUGUAUUUAUUAGAUAAAAAACCAAUGCCCUUCGGGGCUCCUUGGUGAAUCAUGAUAACUUAACGAAUCGCAUGGCCUUGCGCCGGCGAUGGUUCAUUCAAAUUUCUGCCCUAUCAACUUUCGAUGGUAGGAUAGUGGCCUACCAUGGUAGCAACGGGUAACGGGGAAUUAGGGUUCUAUUCCGGAGAGGGAGCCUGAGAAACGGCUACCACAUCCAAGGAAGGCAGCAGGCGCGCAAAUUACCCAAUCCCGACGCGGGGAGGUAGUGACAAUAAAUACUGAUACAGGGCUCUUUCGAGUCUUGUAAUUGGAAUGAGUACAAUUUAAAUACCUUAACGAGGAACAAUUGGAGGGCAAGUCUGGUGCCAGCAGCCGCGGUAAUUCCAGCUCCAAUAGCGUAUAUUAAAGUUGUUGCAGUUAAAAAGCUCGUAGUUGAACCUUGGGCCUGGCUGGCCGGUCCGCCUCACCGCGUGUACUGGUCCGGCCGGGCCUUUCCUCCUGGGGAUCCGCAUGCCCUUCACUGGGUGUGUCGGGGAACCAGGACUUUUACUUUGAAAAAAUUAGAGUGUUCAAAGCAGGCCUUUGCUCGAAUACAUUAGCAUGGAAUAAUAGAAUAGGACGUGCGGUCCUAUUUUGUUGGUUUCUAGGACCGCCGUAAUGAUUAAUAGGGAUAGUCGGGGGCAUCAGUAUUCAAUUGUCAGAGGUGAAAUUCUUGGAUUUAUUGAAGACUAACUACUGCGAAAGCAUUUGCCAAGGAUGUUUUCAUUAAUCAGUGAACGAAAGUUAGGGGAUCGAAGACGAUCAGAUACCGUCGUAGUCUUAACCGUAAACUAUGCCGACUAGGGAUCGGGCGAUGUUAUUAUUUUGACUCGCUCGGCACCUUACGAGAAAUCAAAGUCU
Molecule: ribosomal RNA, 1026 nt
Filed under: Phyllosticta yuccae
Lineage: Eukaryota; Fungi; Ascomycota; Dothideomycetes; Botryosphaeriales; Phyllostictaceae
Description: SSU rRNA
Rfam family: Eukaryotic small subunit ribosomal RNA
Source: RNAcentral